RNAcentral lists this ribosomal RNA (431 nucleotides) under uncultured Cylindrospermopsis sp. RNAcentral describes it as "bacterial SSU rRNA". It matches the Rfam family "Bacterial small subunit ribosomal RNA", at positions 958 to 1392 of the family's 1533-position model. The record is from RNAcentral. Lineage: Bacteria; Bacillati; Cyanobacteriota; Cyanophyceae; Nostocales; Aphanizomenonaceae.
AACGCGAAGAACCUUACCAGGGUUUGACAUCCUGCGAAUCCCUUGGAAACGAGGGAGUGCCUUCGGGAACGCAGUACAGGUGGUGCAUGGCUGUCGUCAGCUCGUGUCGUGAGAUGUUGGGUUAAGUCCCGCAACGAGCGCAACCCACGUCUUUAGUUGCCAGCAUUAAGUUGGGCACUCUAGAGAGACUGCCGGUGAUAAACCGGAGGAAGGUGUGGAUGACGUCAAGUCAUCAUGCCCCUUACAUCCUGGGCUACACACGUACUACAAUGCUACGGACAAAGGGCAGCAAACUCGCGAGAGCUAGCAAAUCCCAUAAACCGUGGCUCAGUUCAGAUCGUAGGCUGCAACUCGCCUACUGAAGGAGGAAUCGCUAGUAAUCGCAGGUCAGCAUACUGCGGUGAAUACGUUCCCGGGCCUUGUACACACCG